Molecule: ribosomal RNA, 433 nt
Filed under: uncultured bacterium
Lineage: Bacteria
Description: partial 16S ribosomal RNA
Rfam family: Bacterial small subunit ribosomal RNA
Source: RNAcentral
AACGAACGCCGGCGGCAUGCCUAACACAUGCAAGUCGAACGAGACCUUCGGGUCUAGUGGCGCACGGGUGCGUAACGCGUGGGAACCUGCCCUUAGGUUCGGAAUAACUCCCCGAAAGGGGUGCUAAUACCGGAUAAUGUCUUCGGACCAAAGAUUUAUCGCCUUUGGAUGGGCCCGCGUUGGAUUAGCUAGUUGGUAGGGUAAAAGCCUACCAAGGCGACGAUCCAUAGCUGGUCUGAGAGGAUGAUCAGCCACACUGGGACUGAGACACGGCCCAGACUCCUACGGGAGGCAGCAGUGGGGAAUAUUGGACAAUGGGCGAAACCCUGAUCCAGCAAUGCCGCGUGAGUGAUGAAGGCCUUAGGGUUGUAAAGCUCUUUUACCCGGGAUGAUAAUGACAGUACCGGGAGAAUAAGCUCCGGCUAGCUCCGUG